This 492-nucleotide ribosomal RNA is filed under the name uncultured bacterium. Its description in RNAcentral is "partial 16S ribosomal RNA". It matches the Rfam family "Bacterial small subunit ribosomal RNA", at positions 29 to 507 of the family's 1533-position model. The record is from RNAcentral.
AGUGAACGCUGGCGGUAGGCCUAACACAUGCAAGUCGAACGGCAGCACAGUAAGAGCUUGCUCUUACGGGUGGCGAGUGGCGGACGGGUGAGGAAUACAUCGGAAUCUACUUUUUCGUGGGGGAUAACGUAGGGAAACUUACGCUAAUACCGCAUACGACCUACGGGUGAAAGCAGGGGAUCUUCGGACCUUGCGCGAUUGAAUGAGCCGAUGUCGGAUUAGCUAGUUGGCGGGGUAAAGGCCCACCAAGGCGACGAUCCGUAGCUGGUCUGAGAGGAUGAUCAGCCACACUGGAACUGAGACACGGUCCAGACUCCUACGGGAGGCAGCAGUGGGGAAUAUUGGACAGUGGGCGCAAGCCUGAUCCAGCCAUACCGAGUGGGUGAAGAAGGCCUUCGGGUUGUAAAGCCCUUUUGUUGGGAAAGAAAAGCAGCAGGUUAAUACCCCGCUGUUCUGACGGUACCCAAAGAAUAAGCACCGGCUAACUUCGUG